AGCCUUCCAGAGAAGUUCCACAAUGUCUUCUCAUUGCCCUAAUUAAUGUAUGAUAUCAUGGAAUCCCAUGGAAUCAUAGUAAUAGUAGUAAUUGUGAAAGACAGAGGUCUGUUCCUCGGUUGAUAGAAACAUUACAUUCUGACAUUUUCACCUCCUCUUUUCAGUGAACUCCAGCAUGACUACUGGAAGCAGAAUCCCUGUUGCAAUUCCUCCUUGUUCCAGAGAUCAUUGGUGGAAGGGAUGGAAACAUGAGUAUACAGCACCCCAGUCAUUCGAACAGACCUUGUUAUUCACAGUGACUACUGACUGGUAAAACAGAAUUCAAGGACAUUUAUGAUUAUGACAGUAGUGUCGCAACCAGGGACAGUGAAUAAAAACAAAUUAGAGAUAUAUGACAACACGUUAUGCAUCUAUAACUGCAGCUGUUUGCAUCAUUUCCUUGCCAUGAAGUUAUAUCACAUGUGAAUAUAUCACUUUUUUUUCCACCAAACGGAGACAUUUUCCUUGAGGAAACAGUUUGGGGGAAAAAGCAGCAAGUGGUGGAGGGCAGCCAGGAGACUUAAGCUCCACCCAGGACUGUGACCAUGCUGAGCAGGGGAUUCAGGAAGCUGUGGUUCAAAAACAAACCUUGCCCAAGCUCCAUCAAUUUCUCUUCAAACACGGCACAUCAGUGGUAUUUUGAAGCAUCGGCUGGUAUGCGAUAUUGAGCACUUUUUAGCCAAAUACAUUUGGAGUUUUACAGAUGGGAGCAAAGAAUGGAGAGAGAACACUUUGUAUGACGGAAAAUGAAGAAUUUAUGGCCAACUUGCAAGGACAGCAAAGCUUAAGAGACAGAGGUAUCAGAAUGUAUAGUGGCAGUGUUGCCAGAAGUGGACUGCUACUGUCAGAUGGUGACAACAACAAUGAUAACAGUGUGAAAGAAUGUGAUAUACUUUGGUUCAAUACACAUCAAACAAGCCAAAAGGGAUCUUUCUCUACUGGUGUGGAGAUGAUCAUUAAUUUUUAAUAGUGUUAAUGUUUAUUAGUGAAAGAUGAUUGACUUUAAGUGCCUGAUGAAUAAUAAAUAAAUGAUGUCGUUUUCUGGCAUUUUGAUUGCAUUAGUAUGGAAGGCCGGUGGGAGUAUCUUUCAUUCUUUAAGAGGGGUAUUGCACCAGUUCCCAGAGGUCUGUGAUGCUUGCUCGCAGCUUUCAGACUUCUCCAAUUCUGGAGCAGACAGAAACUUUAAAGAGUGUGCCCCUAUCCUCUGUUCUCUCUUUCUAUUCCCCUCUCUUUUUGGGUAUUCAUUCUUUAGUCACAGAGGUUACUGUGAACUCCCAGGCUGACACAAGGAAGUUCAUCCCAGCUGUUGUCACUAAUCCAAAACUGCUGGAGAAGGCCUCAGAUUCACUUGAAGGCCCUGUUGGAUUUCAUAAAACACCUGUGUCCAUCAAAGAGAACACACAGGAUCUCUGCAUGAGCUCUCCUUGACUUUGUAAUUUCAUUGACUGACAGUUUAAUAUCUAUUUAUUUUCACAUCUGACUCCAGUAGAGACAGGCUGGCAUCCUAAAUGUCAAGAUAUUAUGCUGACAACUGGAAGCUCUGGAAAGCCUUGAAAUUUAUUCAGAACUAAAAUUUCUGCUUGACUGGCUAUUGACAAGCUUGCUUUGAUUGUUGAACACUGAAUUCAAAGUGCAAAAUCCAGAUAACUCAAGGGGAGAACCUCACUGAAGGGACAGUUACUGGACUGAUGACCAUUGCUGCAAGAUUUAUAUGCAAUUCUCAAUGACGGAUACACAUAUGUGGUAGAGUUAAUUAUCCCACUAUGGCGAUGGGGGAAGGCAGGACCACCAAGAUCAUGAUGGUGAAUGCAAUGGGCAUGUCCCUACUCUGCUCCUCAGGAGAACUCAGGAAAACUUCGUGUCUACUUUAUUAUAACUUGAAUGUGUGAAUAUUAGAAACUUUCCACCUGAAGAAGACUUGGUCAAGGUUGAAACCGGUUGUGGAAGUUCUCUACAAGGAAACAUAGAGGAAUAUUUGUUUAUAGAGACUUUUGUUGAAAUUUCCUUUAUAAGAAAGAAAGAGAAAGAAAUUACCAUUGUGAACUUUAAAGAGGAAAUCUGUUUAAAGUAACCCUUGUUGAAAAUUCCCUUCUACAAGAAAGAAACAGUAAUCAGUAUUGUCAAUAUAACAAACUUAUGUUUCAUUGUAUACUAUUUUUGUCGUACCUUUUACAAGUUGUUGAAACAAAUAUAUGUUUGUGAUUACUUCA
This is a long non-coding RNA of Anolis carolinensis (green anole), 2249 nucleotides long. RefSeq lists it as uncharacterized. The record is from RefSeq and is a predicted model, not a curated record. NCBI's taxonomy places the organism in Eukaryota, Metazoa, Chordata, Lepidosauria, Squamata, Anolidae. The transcript has 7 exons.